GGCAUGUAUACGUAACGACCGAGCUUGGUUUGUUCGGUUUGAAUCCCAAAGGAUACUUCUUCGUAAAAACCUCGUAAAAACUCUUUCGGAAAUACGAUCUCCGAGGAUUUUCGGGUGGUAAUUCCGUCGUAACCAUUUUUGACCCCAACACACGAGACAUUGGAGGAAAGCCCAAAUAAGGUCGCACGAUCGCUAUGAAGCGAUCGAGCGCAAGUCCCGCUCAGUCGCUACGUAGCAACCGAGCGUGCGUUCCGUUUGUUCGCUAAGUAGCGACCGAGCUCCUCUGAAACAUUGAUACGACACAAAUCCAUGUGUGCUCGUCUAUCCUUCGAUGCUGUCUCCCGAAGACCACAGCGAACCCGUCUCAUGUUUUCUGCCAUUCGAAGUCAUCAAUCAAACUUUACGGUAAAAACCGUGGAAAGUUCCUUCUUUAUCGAAAGAAGCCGUAAUAAACACUACGAGUCAAAAGACGGCCCAAAGGGACCUAAGACAUGACUCGAGGCCCAACUUGCGAUUUCUUAACCAACAGCCCGUAAACCGUAGGACGGUUUAGGCUUGGUUCGAAAGGAAAGAUAAAUUUCAAAUUUCCGCGGAUAAAUACUAAAUUUUUGAGGAUAAUUACGGAUAAAAACAGAAUAUCUCUAUUUUUAUGCUAUGACGGCUUAAGGGCAGAAGGGAAAAAGCAAAAACCGACCUAGGAGCGAGUAUAUAAGGAGUCAUAGGCGAGAGGCAAAGAAGAGUUUUGGACACAGCAAAUUUAGCACUUAGAGCAGUUUAGGCAAUUUUCCGUUUUUGUUAUUCGAGCUGCGACUCAAUUAGGUUGUUGCCGUCUUAGGGUUUUAGAAUUAGGAAUCUCGCCGACAGCUCUCGUGGCCCAGGCUCUUACCUUGUUGUAACGCUCAAACGCGAAUUCAUAAAAAGAUCUACUUUGCUCUUUUUUUACGAUUUCUUAUAUUUUAUCGUCUUUAUUUCUUGUUCUGACUGCUUGGCAUGUGGAAAAUUAGGGCUUUCGUACUUUCGUUAUUUAAACAGAAAUCGACAGUGCGAAUAUUGUGUUUUAGUUAGUUAUUUAAAAAAAAGUAAAAUAAGGAUAUCCGAAUAGACGAUUCCCCCGCACAUAGAUCGAUGAGACAAGCUCGAUAUCGAUCACCAGCACUUCAUAUCUAACGAUCGAUUGUCUCUUCAUUGUGUCGAAUUAUUGCUCCAGCCAUCGACCGAUGAGACCAUGUCGCUAUCAGUCGACAACACUUCAUCAACAACGAUCGAUUGUCACUGCAUUGUGUCGAUCGACAGUGAGCAGGUCAUCGUUCUUAUUUGUUAAAUUAUGUACUUAUGAUUAUUUCUCACCAUAACUCUGCCUAGAUAUACACUGGGAACAUUGUAAUUUAAGUCUGGAGGGAUGUUUACUGAUAUUAGUAUGUUCAUGAGUCUUAUCAAAAUGUUUUCAAAAGAGUUUUAUUUAGUUAAGAAGGGGAUCAUAAACUUAUUAGAUUUUUGCUUGUUAUCUAACCACUCUUUAGCACCAUUCUAGACUUACUGAUUGCAGACUGUACUAAAGAUACUAAAGUGGAUCAACUUGUCAACUAUUCACACUUGCUGAGAUUGUUUGAAGGAACCAAAGCUGACCUCCAACACUAAACCUGACACAACUGUUUGUCUUGGGUUUGGUAUACAAGAGAUCGGAUUCUUCAAACAAGCCUGGAAGGUAAAGCCUUGUGUAGAUUUAUCACAUUUUCUCUCUCUAUUUCGACCCUAGAUUUACAUGUACAAAUAUUUAUUUACUUUUUUUUAAAUAACGAAAAAGAAAGAAAGAAAAAGAAAUAGAUAUAUAUAUGUGUGUGUUAGGUGGAAUCCGAACAUGACCUUGUGGCUACAACCAUGAAGGCUUGCUUCAUAAGGAUUCCAACAAAAAGAAUUCGAACAGGACUUGGUGGCGGCAAUCAUCAAGAAUCGAUUCACAUGAAUUCUUGGAUAUAUGUCAAAAAGAAGUGAACAUGACUUGGUGGAAAACACCUUUAAGGCUUGAUUCAUGGAAGCUUGUCCAAUCUUGGUCAAUGAUCCUGCUAUGGAAGCAGACUUUGACUAAAGGGAGAAAUUAGUAAAGAGAAAAUAUAGGAACUAACUUUUACCUGCAGAUCGAGAUACUUGUUUGAAAAUCCUUGCAUCUUGUGAUCGAUACUCCCAAGGUAAAGCCUGCAUUUUUAUUUAUGUUAAGAAAUGAGGUUGGUAGAGGGAAUGUCAGACAUGAUUUGCUAAGUUGUUGGCUAGGUUAAUUUGGUUGCUAAGCUAGGAUAUGGUAUAAUGUGCUUUUGUGAUUAGGACUUCUUAGAUGUGGAUUGCAAUAUUGUAGAGGUGAUGAUUCUAAGUUUUAAAUCAUGUGAGUCCCUGCUAUUUUCAAACCACUUUCAGAGAGACUACCCGUUUGUUUUGCUUGAGGACAAGCAAAAGGGUAAGUCUGGGGAGUUGAUAGACCAUGGAUUUUAUCCACUUUUAGCCAUGGUCUAUAAGUGUUUUAAUAUAUAUUUACCACUAUAUAGAGUCUAUUUAGAGUAUUUACAGGUUAAGAUACGUUUUGGAGAAAUAUGGUGAUUUUGGAGUCUUUUGAGGUGCAGAACUGCACAGGCGCGUGAGAUGUGUAGCUAUGGAUGGAGACAUUCCGACCGUUAGAUUGAGCUCACAUUUUUACACGAGGUAUAGAUUUGAGUUAGCUUUUCAAUUCCACCGGUUUGAUGUCAAUCAGCAUCCUGUAUCUGACGUUAUGCCCAUUUUACUGAUGAGUGGUCAGUCUGCCUCGGGAGAGGAAGCUGUCGAGAAGAGGAACGUAUGUCGAUCGAUGCAGAACUCUUGACAUCGAUCGUUAUGGAUGCCAGAACGUGGGCCAAGCAUAUUUCAACACCGUUUUAAGCCCAGAAGCCACACCAAGUUACCAAAAUACCCAUGGACGACUAGAAACCCUAUUUAUGUAUUUCUAAGCCAUUGUUGACGGCUACACGCUUUCUAUUAUCCUAUUCUAUUGUUUUCUCUUAGGUUUGGAGAGAAGAUCAAUUCUCCUUCAGAUAUUGAUUGGAACUCCAUUGGUUUUAUCACUGAUUCUUAUUUAUUAUAUUAUUCAAACUAUGAUUUGUGUUAUUGCUUGCAUGUCUGAGUAAUUCAUCUUGUUAGGUUUAGGGAUUUCAUGCAUAAUGUCAAACUGAUAAUCAAUUAGGAUUGCUAGGUUUUCUAUAGAUCUCUACACCAGGGUGAUUUGUAAUACUAGGAUCUGGAAUAGUUAGAAUAGCAUGAUAGUGUGACUAAUUGUUUGAACCUAAAAUCAUAGGAUAGUUGAGAGGCACGAAAGUUCAAUCAAUUAACGGAACCCGAACUCUGCUUGAUUAGAUACCUAAGCGCAUACGAGAGUUGGUCUAGGAAUCUAGUUGAACUAAAUCGAUUAGGUCAUUAAUGCUUGUCUAAGGAAGUAUCGAUCGACGCUCAGGCCAUAGCAUCGAUCGACACUUGCUCCAAGUCAACAAGCGACAGCUGAGACUAGACUUAGACAUCUGAUUAGGAAUUGCAUGCGAAAGCUGGAUUUCUUACUUAUUAAAAUCGAGUUCUAGAAUUAAUCUAUAAACCAUUAGCAUCCUUGAAUUGUAGUUUUGAAUCUCUUGAUUGAUAAAUCCCUAGGUCUAGCUAUUUCUCCUAACUCUUUACAACCUCAAUCAACCAAUCGAACAAAUACUUUGUUCACAUUGCUUUAAUUUAUUUACUGUUUUCAUAUUUAUUACCUAUUAAAUUUGUUUGCCUAGCUUAACUUUGAUUUCUAUAGUCUAUUUGGUUUCCUAGCUCCUUGUGGAUUCGAUCCCUAAGUACUACGAUUGAACCUCUUAUUUGAGAGAGUAAUUCACUCGUUAGGGUAAUUUGAGUGAUAUCAAGGACUGUCGAUCGAUGAAACAGCAGUGAUGCCAGAAUAUGGGCUGAGCAUAUUUUAUGACCACUGAAGCCUAGAAGCAACCCAAAAUUACCAGAAUACCCUUGGACGACUAGAAACCUUAUUUAUGUUAUUUAUAAGCCAUUGUUGACGGCUACACGCUAUCUAAGCUUUAUUCUAUUGUUUCUCUUAGUUAGGAGAGAAGGGAAGAACUCCAUCAGAGUUCUCCUGAAACUCCAUUGGUUUUGGUUUUAUAUUAUUUAUGCUUUUGCAUCUAUUCUUUCUAUGAUUUCUGUGACAAACUUCAUGUAUGAAUAGAUCCACCUGUUAGGUUUAGGAUUCAUAUAGGUUAUGAAGGAUUAACCCGAAAUAUAGAACUGCUAAAUUGUGAUAUUCAUCAUAGGAUUGUUCUUACUGCUUGUGUUCUAGAGUCAUGAACUAGAACCCUGAUCUUAGACUCAUUAGGCACAAUUGCGAACGCUUGAUCUUUUCUUUUCUCUGAACUGAAUUCUAUUGAGGUAGGAAUGCUAGAAACAUACGAGAGUUGAUUUAGGAACCCUAGUGAACACAUAUUCAACCCGAUCGUAAAGCUUGCUAGAAGCAAUAUCGGUCGAUGAUCCAAUAGAUUAAUUGACUGAUAGGUGUAUCGAUCGAUAUUCCUAUAGAAUAAUCGAUCGACACUUUGUUGUGAUCAAUAAACAAGAGUUGAGAUCCAAGAUUUGGAUAUUAAACUGUCUAUACAACGGAAGUUGUUAGAUUUGUACUCCCAGUUGAGUUCUAUAAUAUCUUGCAAGCAACAAUUAGCCUUUAUAUCAUUAUAACCCUGAUUACCUGAAUAGAAACUCUAGAUCUAGCAAACCAUCAUUCCGUCAAACAACUCUCUGCCAAGCUGAAUAAUUUUCUUGUUCAACUUGUUUACUGCUUUAUUUACUGCUUUAUAAACUAUUAACCUAGCUUAAUCAUAUAACUAUUAGAUCUAAUUGGUUCCCUAGCUCCCUGUGAAUUCGAUCCCUGAGUACUACAACUCGACCUCUUAUUUGAGAGAGUAUAAAUCACUCAUUUGGAUAAUUUGAGUGAUAUCAAUUACAAAUCUGCACCUCUAGGUCUCUUACAAUUCCUCCUGAGCUCCUCUGAGAACAAUCUACAUAAGUGAAUGACUCCUUGGAAGUCUCCACCUUCCGACCCAGAUGGUCUUCCAUAACCCUAGGUAGGAUUGAUACCACUCAAAUUAUCCUAAGGAGUGUUACUCUCAUCAAAAGAGAUUCAGAUGUAGUACUUAGGGAUCGAAUCCACAAGGAGCUAGUGAACAAUUAAAUCUAGUGUUUAUUAAUUCUAAGAGUUGUAAAUGUUUAAAUGAAAUAGCAAUA
This is a long non-coding RNA of Brassica rapa (field mustard), 5271 nucleotides long. RefSeq lists it as uncharacterized. The record is from RefSeq and is a predicted model, not a curated record. Lineage: Eukaryota; Viridiplantae; Streptophyta; Magnoliopsida; Brassicales; Brassicaceae.